AUUGAACGCUAGCGGCAUGCCUAACACAUGCAAGUCGAACGGCAGCACAGCGUGUAGCAAUACAUGUGGGUGGCGAGUGGCGGACGGGUGAGUAAUACGUAGGAAUCUGCCUUGUAGUGGGGGAUAACCCGGGGAAACUCGGGCUAAUACCGCAUAAUCCCUACGGAGCAAAGUGGGGGAUCUUCGGACCCCACGCUAAAAGAUGAGCCUACGACGGAUUAGCUAGUUGGUAGGGUAAAGGCCUACCAAGGCAACAAUCCGUAGCUGGUCUGAGAGGAUGAUCAGCCACACUGGGACUGAGACACGGCCCAGACUCCUACGGGAGGCAGCAGUGGGGAAUAUUGGACAAUGGGGGGAACCCUGAUCCAGCAAUACCGCGUGUGUGAAGAAGGCCUUCGGGUUGUAAAGCACUUUUAGUGGGGAAGAAAAAAUCAAGACUAAUAUUCUUGAGAAUUGACGUUACCCGCAGAAAAAGCACUGGCUAACUCUGUGCCAGCCGCCGCCGUAA
RNAcentral lists this ribosomal RNA (508 nucleotides) under uncultured bacterium. Its description in RNAcentral is "partial 16S ribosomal RNA". It matches the Rfam family "Bacterial small subunit ribosomal RNA", at positions 30 to 523 of the family's 1533-position model. The record is from RNAcentral.